Molecule: long non-coding RNA, 663 nt
Organism: Ailuropoda melanoleuca (giant panda)
Lineage: Eukaryota; Metazoa; Chordata; Mammalia; Carnivora; Ursidae
Exons: 3
Source: RefSeq, a predicted model, not a curated record
CUUACUGGAGAAAGACAUGCCAAGCCUGAGAACGUUGAGUACCCGAGGCCAAGUUCAACAAGGCCAAGUUCAACAAGGCCAGGGAACUUUCCGGCAAGAAAUUAUCCCAUCUGUAACAAGGCCAGUCUCGUGGACUGUAGCUCAUAAUUGGCAGGAAGUUACAGUGCCAUAACUCAGAUGGGAUAAGAUUCAUCAUUGGGCCCCUGGACUUCUCACCUAGGACCCUAAGAAUGCACCCUUGAAGCCUUUGUCUUCCCUCUUGCCCAAUAGAUUGAAGAUCCAUUGAGGAGUCUUACUCUAGAACCAGUGCUUCAGACAGACAUUGUUGAAACUGGAUUAAGUGGACGUACAAGGACCCGCACAUUUGGUCCCAGCAUCCUCCCAGGUCAUCCCGUACCCCACCCACAUGGACUCAUCAUCCUCAUUUUUGCGCUGCCAGCCUUUGCACAUGCCACUUCCUUUGCCUGGAAAGGCUUCUUUCUGAUUCUGCUUGCCUGGAAAAGUCCAAUCCUCCUUUAAAAACCAGCUCAAAGAUCACCUCUAUGAAGGCUCCCCUGAAAAAGGAAGGCACUGUCAUCUAUACACUCAAUUAUUCACUCACACAUGCUUAUUGAGUGCUGUCCUACCCUUCAGCCAAGACCACCAAGAAUGUGCCAGCGAUGA